Molecule: ribosomal RNA, 450 nt
Filed under: uncultured bacterium
Lineage: Bacteria
Description: partial 16S ribosomal RNA
Rfam family: Bacterial small subunit ribosomal RNA
Source: RNAcentral
CCUACGGGGGGCAGCAGUGGGGAAUUUUGGACAAUGGGCGCAAGCCUGAUCCAGCCAUUCCGCGUGCAGGACGAAGGCCUUCGGGUUGUAAACUGCUUUUGUACGGAACGAAAGGGCUCUCUCUAAUACAGGGGGCAUAUGACGGUACCGUAAGAAUAAGCACCGGCUAACUACGUGCCAGCAGCCGCGGUAAUACGUAGGGUGCAAGCGGUAAUCGGAAUGACUGGGCGUGGAGCUUGCGGAGGCAGGUGAAGUCCCCGGGCUCAACCUGGGAACGGCCUUUGUGACUGCAAAGCUGGAGUGCGGCAGAGGGGGAUGGAAUUCCGCGUGUAGCAGUGAAAUGCGUAGAUAUGCGGAGGAACACCGAUGGCGAAGGCAAUCCCCUGGGCCUGCACUGACGCUCAUGCACGAAAGCGUGGGGAGCAAACAGGAUUAGAUACCCCAGUAGUC